This 443-nucleotide ribosomal RNA is filed under the name uncultured Planctomycetota bacterium. RNAcentral describes it as "bacterial SSU rRNA". It matches the Rfam family "Bacterial small subunit ribosomal RNA", at positions 329 to 763 of the family's 1533-position model. Lineage: Bacteria; Pseudomonadati; Planctomycetota. The record is from RNAcentral.
UGCACCACUCCUACGGGAGGCUGCCGUCGAGGAUCUUCCGCAAUGGGCGCAAGCCUGACGGAGCGACGCCGCGUGUGGGAUGAAGGCCUUCGGGUUGUAAACCACUGUCACUCGUUAGGAAAGGGUUCGGCGUUAACAGCGUCGAGCACUGACGAAGGCGAGAGAGGAAGCCACGGCUAACUUCGUGCCAGCAGCCGCGGUAAGACGAAGGUGGCGAGCGUUGUUCGGAAUCACUGGGCAUAAAGCGCACGUAGGCGGUGACGUAAGUCGGGUGUGAAAUCCCUCGGCCUAACCGAGGAACUGCGCCCGAUACUGCGUUGCUUGAGGACCAGAGGGGUGCAUGGAAUUUCCGGUGGAGCGGUGAAAUGCGUUGAUAUCGGAAGAAACUCCGGCGGCGAAAGCGAUGCACUGGCUGGUUUCUGACGCUGAGGUGCGAAAGCCAA